GGGGGGUGGGAUGGAACUCCUUACCGAACGAUAUUGAAAUGUGCAGUGUCCACACAGAUUGUCUGAUGAAAAAUAAUGAGCAUGAAAACCCUUUCGUUGAAAGGCGGACGGGCUGAUGAGUCGUUAACACAUCGGCCGCUUGAAUUUGCCAGCAAAUUCGCGCCUUUACACGGAAAUAGCAAAUCAGUGAUUUGCUAAGCAAUUUCCGUGUCCCCAUCGUCUAGAGGCCUAGGACACUGCCCUUUCACGGCUGUAACAGGGGUUCGAAUCCCCUUGGGGACGCCAUUCCGAUAAUGAGUGAAAGACAUUAUCACCGAAUAUCUUAAAGAUGACUUUAACGAGUCGGGUUUAAAAUAUUGCUCUUUAACAAUCUGGAACAAGCUGAAAAUUGAAAUGAUGAAUAAUCGAAAGAUUAUUCACGAGUCUCUCAAAAGCGCACAGCCAAUGAUGGAAACAUCUUCGGGUUGUGAGGUUAAGUGACUAACCGUACACGGGGGUGGCCCUUGGAAAUCCCUAAAAAGGAAACAUCUUCGGGUUGAAAGGUUAAGUGACUAAGAGGUUAAGGUGGAUGCCUUGGCAGGGGAAUCCCUGGCAAAUU
RNAcentral lists this unclassified non-coding RNA (598 nucleotides) under Gibbsiella quercinecans. RNAcentral's name for it is "partial may contain 16S ribosomal RNA, 16S-23S ribosomal RNA intergenic spacer, and 23S ribosomal RNA". The stretch from base 362 to 463 matches the Rfam family "Salmonella enterica Typhi npcRNA 44". The record is from RNAcentral. Lineage: Bacteria; Pseudomonadati; Pseudomonadota; Gammaproteobacteria; Enterobacterales; Yersiniaceae.